AGCGAACGCUGGCGGCGUACCUAACACAUGCAAGUCGAACGGGGAUCACAGGGUUAGCAAUAACUCCGUGGUUCUAGUGGCGCACGGGUGAGUAACACGUGGGUAACCUGCCCUUGAGACCGGGAUACCCCCUCGAAGGGGGCGUAAUACCGGAUACGUUCCUCGGAUCGAAGGUACUGAGGAGGAAAGGUGGCGAAAGCUGCCGCUCUUGGAGGGGCUCGCGGCCUAUCAGCUAGUUGGCGGGGUAACGGCCCACCAAGGCUAUGACGGGUAGCUGGUCUGAGAGGACGACCAGCCACACGGGGACUGAGACACGGCCCCGACUCCUACGGGAGGCAGCAGUGGGGAAUUUUCCGCAAUGGGCGAAAGCCUGACGGAGUGACGCCGCGUGUGGGACGAAGGCCUUCGGUCGU
This 413-nucleotide ribosomal RNA is filed under the name uncultured bacterium. RNAcentral describes it as "bacterial SSU rRNA". It matches the Rfam family "Bacterial small subunit ribosomal RNA", at positions 28 to 426 of the family's 1533-position model. The record is from RNAcentral.